UGGCACUGCCAGGUGGGUGCUGGGGGUGGCACUGCCAGGUGAGUGCUGGGGGUGGCACUGCCAGGUGGGUGCUGGGGGUGGCACUGCCAGCUCACUUCUCCUGGUGGCAGUGCCAGGUGAGUUCCCAUUUUUUCCAUCCCAAAAUCCAGCAUUAAAUCCUGACUCUCCAUAAAUAAAAAGUUUAAAACUCCCCAGUCCUUUUUUAUCAGUUUGAAUCACCACCAGCCCAUCAGUGUUUUCAUAAUUAAUUGUUUAAUUAGAGAUGUUCUGCUGCUCUUUCAGGUACCUGAUUGAGGUUGAAGGCAUGGAGCCCAAUGCUGCCAUAGAAUUGUUCAACACGGCUCGAGGGCACCCCAUGGAGAGACCCAACUACAUCCAGGACCUGCAGAGCAGAGCCCCGGGCUGUGAGCUGAAGGAUCUGGGCUCAGAUGUGAGGAAGGAGAGCAGCGCCCCAGCGCAGCCCCAGAAGCACCCCCAGCCCGCCCUGGCAGUGCCCAGGUGGGUGUUUGCCCCUUCCCCUGCUCCCUCCCUUUGCAACAGCCCCAGCCGGAUCUUUCCAGGCUCCCCCAGCUCUGGGAGGGUGAAAAAAAGAAUUUCUGGAAGUUGUUCAGAGCCAAAGCGGCAGCAGGGAGGCUCUUGUGCCUGGGAAUGGUCACAAAGCAUCUCCAGAACAGCUGUGGGCACAGCUGGGGCUCCUUCCCCCUCUGCCCCAGUUCCUGAUGGAGAUUGAGAAAAAUUUCUGAUGGAAAUGGAAAAAAAUUCCUGAUGGAAAUUGGAGAAAAUUCCUGAUGGAAAUUGGAGAAAAUUCCUGACGGAAACGGAAAAAAAUUCCUGAUGGAAACGGAAAAAAAUUCCUGAUGGAAAUGGAAAAAAAUUCCUCAUGGAAAAUGGAAAAAAAUUCCUGAUGGAAAUUGGAGAAAAUUCCUGAUGGAAAUGGAAAAAUAUUCCUGAUGGAAAUGGAAAAAAAUCCCAGAUGAGGAUUGAAAAUUCCUGAUGGAAAUCCUGUCAGAAAUGAGGAGUGGGCCUCUCUGGGAGUUCAGGCUGCAGGAAAGGCUCUGGGUGCCCCCUCAGCCCUUUUUUGGGUGCUGAUCCCCAAUUUCCUUGCAGGAGCAGCAGCAGUGGCAGGCAGAGACAGGAAGAGCAGAAAAAUCUGGAGCAGAGGAAGCAGAAAAAGCAGAAUCAUCAGGAGAGAGAACAUCAGGAAGAGAGGAAACAGA
Molecule: long non-coding RNA, 1217 nt
Filed under: Junco hyemalis (dark-eyed junco)
Lineage: Eukaryota; Metazoa; Chordata; Aves; Passeriformes; Passerellidae
Description: lncRNA (ENSJHYG00000000011.1)
Source: RNAcentral